CUGAUCAGCCUCACCUGGGCAUUCACCCUCCGCCAGGAGCUCUGUUUGAGGUUAGGCAUGGAGGCAGAGUCUUUCCUAGAGUUACACUAUAGGUAGGUUUGUCUCUUUUCCUGUCUCUGGGAAGGAUCUUGGACCCAUGCUGCAAUUUCAGCCACUGCUGCUCCUUCCCCUUGCUGUGUCUGGGGAUGAACUGUUGGUAGCCCCUUGUGCUGCCCACCCUGCUCAGGACCCUGGGUCCCUGGCAGCUCCAUGCUCCUUUGCGUCUUGCAGAGAAGCUCUGCUUUUCCUGUUUCCUGAUGUGGAACCUGUUUCUGGCCCCAUGGCGUUACGUACAUUUAAGGAAUCAAAACUAUUCCAAUCAGUUCCUCCCACGAAGCUACAGAAGAGCUAAAGGGAACAGUGCAUGCUUCGUGUGAAUGAAGAACAUUGCUGAUCCACAGCUAGG
Molecule: non-coding RNA, 445 nt
Organism: Anas platyrhynchos (mallard)
Lineage: Eukaryota; Metazoa; Chordata; Aves; Anseriformes; Anatidae
Source: RefSeq, a predicted model, not a curated record